Molecule: long non-coding RNA, 1272 nt
Filed under: Sus scrofa (pig)
Lineage: Eukaryota; Metazoa; Chordata; Mammalia; Artiodactyla; Suidae
Description: lncRNA (ENSSSCG00015037822.1)
Source: RNAcentral
UGAGGUUUCGGGUUCCAUCCCUGGCCUUGCUCAAUGGAUUAAGGAUCCGGCGUUGCCAUGAGCAGUGGUGUAGGCCAGCAGCUGUAGCUCUGAUUAGACCCCUAGCCUGGGAACCUCCAUAUGCCACAAGUGUGGCCCUAAAAAAAGGGCAAAAAAAAAAAAUGAAGACUAGUUCUUUACUAGUGAACCCAAUUAAACUGUGGGUUUGGGUUUUUUUGUUGUUGUUGUUGUUUUUUUGUUUGUUUGAGAAAUCUACCCUCCUCACCAAAUAGAAGAUAUGUGUCUUAAGAAAAUAAUUUACAUUAUCCUUUGAAAGGUUUUAUUUUAAUGCAAGUUAUUUUUAUCAAAUUGUCCCUUUCGUGGAUUAGCGAUUGCUUCCCUUCCAAAAACUAAAGAGGAGUUAUUCUUGCAUUUUUUUUUUAUGUCUCCAACUCAGAAACUUUAGAAUUUUCUAUAACCUUUCAAAAUGAAAAUUAAAAUGUUUCCAGAGGGAAAAGCAUUAAAAUAUGACACAUAGCUGUCUUAAAUGUGGUUUCCCUUCCUGCAGAUAAACUCGUUUUGUCUAGACAUAGGUUUUUCCAUAUUCACUCUAAGCAGCUGUGACUAGCUAUCUUAAUUUGAAAAAGCUUCACGCAUCGACCUUGCUACAAUUACAUAUUACUUUUAAUUUUGCUCAUUACAAAAACAUGAGACCACUUUGUAAUUAUAUUUUUUCAUUUACGAGAAUGUAGACCCCUGAGUUCUGAUAGCUGGUUUGCUAGUCGUUUUUCAGCUCUGGCUUUUAAUUCUAGAUUUAUUUAAAUGUAUUAUUCUCUGGACCUAGUGGAAUAUCUAUUGGAGUAGAGCUCACCAUUUUGUGACUCUUAAGUUCUUUCAUCUCUCUGUGACUUUUCAUGCUCCUAAUAACCCUGUGAAAUGACUUGUUGCCUAGUCCCAGGGAGAAGGUGAUAAACUAGUUGCCAUGGUGGACAUGGAGUAGACUUUCUGAUUCUCUUUUACCUUCAUGUUCUUGACCCCAAAUGAGAUUGUGUAAGUAAAGCCUAUGAAACAAAAAAGGGAGUGAGCUGGAGUUCCCAUUGUGGCUCAGUGGUAUUGAACCCAACUAGUAUCCUUGAGAACACGGGUUUGAUCCCUGGCCUUGCUCUGUGGGUUAAGAUUCCUGUGACCUGUGGUGUAGGUUAAAGAUGCGGCUCGGAUCCUGCGUUGCUAUGGCUGUGGUGUAGGUGGGCAGCUGCAGCUCUGAUUCAACCCCUAGCCUGGAAAUUUCCACAU